Molecule: ribosomal RNA, 468 nt
Filed under: uncultured bacterium
Lineage: Bacteria
Description: partial 16S ribosomal RNA
Rfam family: Bacterial small subunit ribosomal RNA
Source: RNAcentral
GACGAACGCUGGCGGUGUGCUUAACACAUGCAAGUCGAACGGAAAGGCCCUGCUUUUGUGGGGUGCUCGAGUGGCGAACGGGUGAGUAACACGUGAGUAACCUGCCCUUGACUUUGGGAUAACUUCAGGAAACUGGGGCUAAUACCGGAUAGGAGCUCCUGCUGCAUGGUGGGGGUUGGAAAGUUUCGGCGGUUGGGGAUGGACUCGCGGCUUAUCAGCUUGUUGGUGGGGUAGUGGCUUACCAAGGCUUUGACGGGUAGCCGGCCUGAGAGGGUGACCGGGCACAUGGGGACUGAGAUACGGACCAGACGCCUACGGGAGGCAGCAGUGGGGAAUAUUGCACAAUGGGCGGAAGCCAGAUGCAGCAACGCCGGGUGCGGGAUGACGGCCUUCGGGUUGUAAACCGCUUUCGCCUGUGACGAAGCGUGAGUGACGGUAAUGGGUAAAGAAGCACCGGCUAACUACGUG